RNAcentral lists this ribosomal RNA (378 nucleotides) under uncultured archaeon. RNAcentral's name for it is "bacterial SSU rRNA". It matches the Rfam family "Archaeal small subunit ribosomal RNA", at positions 691 to 1068 of the family's 1478-position model. The record is from RNAcentral.
CCGACGGUGAGGGGUGAAAGCUAGGGGCACGAACCGGAUUAGAUACCCGGGUAGUCCUAGCCGUAAACGAUACUCGCUAGGUGUCGGCAACGGUGCGACCGUUGUCGGUGCCGUAGGGAAGCCGUGAAGCGAGCCACCUGGGAAGUACGGCCGCAAGGCUGAAACUUAAAGGAAUUGGCGGGGGAGCACCACAACGGGUGGAGCUUGCGGUUUAAUUGGAUUCAACGCCGGAAAUCUUACCGGGACCGACAGCAAUAUGAAGGCCAGGCUGAAGACUUUGCCGGAUUAGCUGAGAGGUGGUGCAUGGCCGUCGUCAGUUCGUACUGUGAAGCAUCCUGUUAAGUCAGGCAACGAGCGAGACCCACGCCCACAGUUGCC